GCCUGGGUGGCUCAGUCGGUUAAGCGUCCGACUUCAGCUCAGGUCAUGAUCUCGUGGUUCAUGGGUUCGAGCCCCAUAUCGGGCA
RNAcentral lists this transfer RNA (85 nucleotides) under Felis catus (domestic cat). It matches the Rfam family "tRNA". From Rfam's summary of the family: Transfer RNA (tRNA) molecules are approximately 80 nucleotides in length. Their secondary structure includes four short double-helical elements and three loops (D, anti-codon, and T loops). The record is from Rfam by way of RNAcentral. Lineage: Eukaryota; Metazoa; Chordata; Mammalia; Carnivora; Felidae.